GGCUCAGUGGCGUGCGGUACCGCGCAUCUGCAUCCCACGUUGCAUCUUUUUCCCUGAGUAAAGCAGACACCCGCCCGUUCGACUCGGGCCUGAGCCA
Mycena rebaudengoi is the source of this 97-nucleotide non-coding RNA. The record is from the annotation of a GenBank genome assembly. Lineage: Eukaryota; Fungi; Basidiomycota; Agaricomycetes; Agaricales; Mycenaceae.